GUUGCUGAAAUGGCGGACGCUCAAUCAGUAGGCACCGUCGGCCAAUUGGGCUGCUAACAAGCCGCUGGGACGACACAACUGAUUGGCCAGCUCUGGAAUUAAAGGACCGUUUGAGCUUAACGAGAGGAGGAACUUGCUGUUUCUUCAUUACCCGACCGCCUCGACCGAGAAAGAGAACCCAGCUACUGGCUGAGUAGGAGGAUGCUGCAGUAACUCAUGUGAAUAAACACAUCUGAAAUGUGUAGCAUUUGUCAAGACUGCGGUGAGGUAGGCCACAUCCAAGGUUGUCUCCCCCUGCCGUCAUGCCAACCCCACAGGUUUUUAGGUUCUGCAGUCACUGCAGGGCGAAUGACUGAGAGAGGAGCAGUAACAUUGUCCCCUGUAGGGGUGAAUCUUCAGAAGGCCGGGUCCACUUACAUUAUCGCACACUUCUAGAAGCCUUCGCCAGAGCAUGUGGCCUUGUACGGCAGCAACAGUCCUGGGACCCGCUAUGACACCAGGCUUGGACAGAACCUUUAACUAUAACUCAACUGCUCUACAACAUUACGGUGCCUGUACAGCACAAAAGUAUGACUACGACCACUGUUUUGGAGUUAAGCAGAAGAUUUGUGUUUCGUAGCAAGUUUCUACAAGUGUCUUUUGAAAAUGUUAUUAGUGUAACUUGCUACUAGAUAGCUGUAUGACUAUUUUUACUGCAAUGAGGAGUUAAUGAUUUUGUAUACUACAUGAGUCUAUAGCAAGCAAAAUGUAAUUCAAAAUUUCUGACAGUAAACUCAGAUAGUAAAUUGAGCUUGUCAUCACAAUGACAAGGACAGAAGGUCAAAGUUUUCAGUUACCUUGGUAAUUGUGCAAGCUUUUUUAAUGGCCAGUUAGAAAUUCUAUGGCACUUAUAAAGUUCUCUCGAUUCAAAGCAGCGUUUGCAUUUUUAAAGCCUUAUAGUUUAAAAGUAUAAAAAGAAUCACUAACAAGCAACAUAGGUCAGGAAGUUUAUGGUUGUGAAAUCUAUGUCUAGAAUUAUAACUGGAAUAAUAAUUACAAUAAGAACUAUUCUUUUAAAGAACUGUAGUUUGUGCCUUCAGCAAGCAAACUAAUUAAAGGAAACAUAAUGGGAUAAUUAAAAUGGAAACAAUUAAUGGAAACAUAAUGUACUGCAUAUCAGUUGCUUGUCACACUCUGAUUCUGCUCAGUCUGUCCUUGCUUCAUCGGGAAAAUUUAAUAUUCAAGUAGUUAUGCCUCAUUGGGCUUAUAAUGUUUUCCCUCUGAUUUCGUUUGAAACUUUUAAUAAUUUGAGGACACCUUGGGCCUCUUUCACAAAACUUUUUUGAAGUUCCAAUGAGAAACCAAUGUGGGGAUCGUGAAACACGGAAACAUGCACAGAACGUCAAUUUUGUGUACAUCUCAGGUGUAUCGGGUGACGAAUGCCGAUUUUUAAUAAAUUGGCUGGGCGUGCCUGUUCAUGUAAUUAGUACAAUGGAACUUAGAAACUCCCUGUAGUCCCAUAAAAGGCAUGCCGACUUCAGGGUCAUGUGCAAACCUCAGCCAAUCAUCGCUCUCCACAAACAUACCUGGUCCCUAAAGAUUUGCUCCCUCUCCAAGGCACAAUUAGCCACGUAAUUCAGAAGCAGCAAAUACACUUGUUAAGGGCUGCGUUUGACUACACACUUGUGGGUCUUGUAAAUAUAGUCACUUUCAUCAAUAAAGGAAAUGUGCUCCCAACAAAGUAUCGCAAAUUAAAACAAAUUAUUUGAAUGUACU
This is a long non-coding RNA of Anguilla anguilla (European eel), 1755 nucleotides long. RefSeq lists it as uncharacterized. The record is from RefSeq and is a predicted model, not a curated record. NCBI's taxonomy places the organism in Eukaryota, Metazoa, Chordata, Actinopteri, Anguilliformes, Anguillidae. The transcript is spliced from 3 exons.